RNAcentral lists this unclassified non-coding RNA (240 nucleotides) under soil metagenome. RNAcentral describes it as "partial contains 5.8S ribosomal RNA, internal transcribed spacer 2, and large subunit ribosomal RNA". The record is from RNAcentral.
AACUGAUACUACCUGCGGGAACCUGCGGAAGGAUCAUUACUGAAGUGAUUUGGGGAUGUUGCUGGCCCUCUCUCAAGGGGGGGCACUGUGCACUCCUCGAAGCAAUUCACAAUUUCCAUCACACCCCUUGUGCACACCUUGUAGGCACCCAAACCCACCUCCGGGUGGUGGGGUCCUAUGUAUUCCUUCAUCUCACACUCUGUUGAAUGGUGCCAUGGGACGCAUCUAAAGGAUUAUUUG